GAUCAUGGCUCAGGAUGAACGCUGGCGGCGUGCCUAAUACAUGCAAGUCGAACGCUGGAGAUCUAGCUUGCUAGAUCGAAGGAGUGGCGAACGGGUGAGUAAUACAUAAGCAACCUACCCACGAAGACUGGGAUAAUCUCUGGAAACGGGGACUAAUACCGGAUAGGUAAUCGGAAGGCAUCUUCUGGUUAUUAAAGGUUAAAAACACUGGUGGAUGGGCUUAUGGCGCAUUAGUUAGUUGGUG
RNAcentral lists this ribosomal RNA (244 nucleotides) under uncultured bacterium. RNAcentral describes it as "partial 16S ribosomal RNA". It matches the Rfam family "Bacterial small subunit ribosomal RNA", at positions 15 to 254 of the family's 1533-position model. The record is from RNAcentral.